This is a non-coding RNA of Paramuricea clavata, 112 nucleotides long. Lineage: Eukaryota; Metazoa; Cnidaria; Anthozoa; Malacalcyonacea; Plexauridae. The record is from the annotation of a GenBank genome assembly.
AGAGAGGUUUAGCAAAGACGACGGGACGUCACAGACGACGUGAAAAUGACAUCGUAUGCACAUCCAUUUUCACGUCGUCCUUGACGUCGCGUCGUCUUUUCUAAACCUCUUU